UACGUAGGGUGCGAGCGUUGUCCGGAAUUAUUGGGCGUAAAGAGUUCGUAGGCGGUUUGUUGCGUCUAUCGUGAAAACCUGCAGCUUAACUGUGGGCUUGCGGUGGAUACGGGCAGACUUGAGUUCGGUAGGGGAGACUGGAAUUCCUGGUGUAGCGGUGAAAUGCGCAGAUAUCAGGAGGAACACCGGUGGCGAAGGCGGGUCUCUGGGCCGAUACUGACGCUGAGGAGCGAAAGCGUGGGGAGCGAACAGG
RNAcentral lists this ribosomal RNA (253 nucleotides) under uncultured bacterium. Its description in RNAcentral is "partial 16S ribosomal RNA". It matches the Rfam family "Bacterial small subunit ribosomal RNA", at positions 524 to 776 of the family's 1533-position model. The record is from RNAcentral.